RNAcentral lists this ribosomal RNA (446 nucleotides) under uncultured bacterium. Its description in RNAcentral is "partial 16S ribosomal RNA". It matches the Rfam family "Bacterial small subunit ribosomal RNA", at positions 338 to 795 of the family's 1533-position model. The record is from RNAcentral.
CCUACGGGUGGCAGCAGUCGAGAAUCAUUCACAAUGGGGGAAACCCUGAUGGUGCGACGCCGCGUGGGGGAAUGAAGGUCUUCGGAUUGUAAACCCCUGUCAUGUGGGAGCAAAUUAAAAAGAUAGUACCACAUGAGGAAGAGACGGCUAACUCUGUGCCAGUAGCCGCGGUAAUACAGAGGUCUCAAGCGUUGUUCGGAAUCACUGGGCGUAAAGCGUGCGUAGGCUGUUUCGUAAGUCGUGUGUGAAAGGCGCGGGCUCAACCCGCGGACGGCACAUGAUACUGCGAGACUAGAGUAAUGGAGGGGGAACCGGAAUUCUCGGUGUAGCAGUGAAAUGCGUAGAUAUCGAGAGGAACACUCGUGGCGAAGGCGGGUUACUGGACAUUAACUGACGCUGAGGCACGAAGGCCAGGGGAGCGAAAGGGAUUAGAUACCCUUGUAGUC